RNAcentral lists this long non-coding RNA (471 nucleotides) under Ananas comosus (pineapple). RNAcentral describes it as "long non-coding RNA (ACOM_LNC021906)". The record is from RNAcentral. Lineage: Eukaryota; Viridiplantae; Streptophyta; Magnoliopsida; Poales; Bromeliaceae.
AUUUUAUAUUAUUUUUAAUUUUUCUUUUAUAUAUAAAAUUAAUUUUACACAGAUCCUUAUAUAAAUAUAAUGAAUUAUAAAUAUAUUCUUAUAAAGUUUAAUUUUCAUAUAUUAUCUUCGCAAAAUUUCUGAUAUUUUUAAAUAUAUUCUUGUCAUUAAGAUCGGGUAGAAAAAAUUAGUUAAUCAUAGAUAAAAAAACUAAAUCUUAGCUAGUUAAUGAGAUGAAUCAAUCUUUUUAUCCCUAUUUAAUUGACAGUCGGGAUUUUUGUGAUGGCAAAAAGGCCAUUUCACUUAUAAAAUAAACAGUAUUGUAACGGUAACAAACCAUAAAGAUAUAUUUGAAAUUAUUAGGAUUUUUAUAGAAACAAUAUAUAAAAAUUAAAUUUUGUAGGAAUGUAUUUGUAAUGCACCAUGUUUACAGAAACUUGUAUGAAAUUAAUCCUAAAUUAUAAUAGCAUGUUAUUGCACUUU